AGAGCAGGCUACGGUGUGAAUAAGUGGAGACAGUCAGUUGCGUGAGCCAAUCAGAUCUCGAGUCUUUGACACCUAUGCCAGUUAAGAGUCCUCACGCUGCAACGGACAUGUAAGCAUCCUGUGAUUGGAUGAGAUCACGCGAGAGCUUGAAAGACGGCAAUGGCUAAACUAAACCAGAAAACUUAAAAAGAAAAACACAAAACCGGGAAACCUGUUAGCUACUAACACUUAUGGCUUUAUUUGUAAACCACGAGGUCUGAACCAGGAGGCGCUGUGUUUAAGACGGAGCCUUCGUGGAGACCUGGUUCUUUCAAGAAGAGCCUCUCAAUGACAGUUUCUCUGCAUACCAUUAACAACAAGGUGAAUCAAUUCCAAGGAAGAUACCCUUCACCAUUUACUAAAAUCUCUGGGACAUGUUUGGAGUUCAGCGGCUGACAUCUGAAAGCGCAGGUGCAACAAUGAUUUAUACCCGUGUGUGUCACAUUGCUGGAGAAAGAAAACUUGAAGAAACCAAGAUUGGGAUACGUGAUGUCCUCAGGGGAUAAAAUCUGGGGAUGCUCCUCUGAUGAUGAAUUAGACCAAAAAAUUUGGAAUCAUAUUUCACACAAGUGUCAGAAGUUGAGUUUGGUUGAGACUGCUUGCCAUUUUUAAUAAGUAGAGCAUUUUUCUUUCAUUAUUCUAGAGAUGAGAUCACCUGGCGGGUGCAAGUGCAAACUUCUGAAUAAGAUUGCUUAUUGCUAAAAAUAAAUACAAGAACAAGACUGUAGCUAGUUUUCA
RNAcentral lists this long non-coding RNA (777 nucleotides) under Betta splendens (Siamese fighting fish). RNAcentral describes it as "lncRNA (ENSBSLG00000007746.1)". Lineage: Eukaryota; Metazoa; Chordata; Actinopteri; Anabantiformes; Osphronemidae. The record is from RNAcentral.